Molecule: long non-coding RNA, 222 nt
Filed under: Ictidomys tridecemlineatus (thirteen-lined ground squirrel)
Lineage: Eukaryota; Metazoa; Chordata; Mammalia; Rodentia; Sciuridae
Description: lncRNA (ENSSTOG00000029476.1)
Source: RNAcentral
CUCCUAAGGCUGCUAAUCUAUCAGUGGUAAACUAUUUCUUUUUUGUUUCAGAGUUUGACCAUGUCCUGAACUGGUGAGAGACACCUUCUGUGACUUUCAGUCAGAUCAGCCAUCAGAUCCCAGCAAACAUGACCCUCUCAGCCUACAAGGAGAAGAUGGAGGAGCUCCCACUAGUGUCCCUGUUCUUCUCCUGCUUCUUGGCUGACCUUCUGAAUAAGUCAU